AGAUCGAAAAUAGGAGUAUAUCGAACUCCUAGUACUGCUCAUAAUAGAUUGUAGAUAACUGAUAUCGGCGAGGACUACAAUUGGACUUGCCACAUCUAAAAAUUUUACUCACAGGAGAAAUGAGAAGCUGAUAUUAAAACCUUACGGGGUUCCGAUUGACAUUUUGGGUAACGAGUGUCGAUGGGGACAUCGCGGUGGUUGUCACAGGCUUGAGGGGAGUACCGGGUCAUGACAAUGAGGGUUUCGAUGAUGAUGAGUUUGAUAUUCUCAUGUGACAGAAACUUAAUCAUUUUAGGUUUGUUGUACUUGCUACUAUUGCUCGUGAUGUUUUGGCUGCUUCCGUAUAAAUAGUUGCUUCAGAAUAUGCUUUUAGUACCGGUGGAUGGGUGCUUGAUGGAUAUAGGAGUUCUUUGACUCCUAAGGUUGUGCAAGCACUUAUUUGUGCUCAAGAUUGAUUACAUGGAUUGGCACAUGGUGAUCCGAAUUUGAUUAAAGAUGAUCUGGAUGAGCCCAAUAAACUUUAUUUUUGUAAUUAUUUUAUAAUUUUAUUUGUAUUUUAAUUUAUUAGAUUUGUCAAAGAUCAAUUUACCAUAUUUGUUAUUUUAUUUUUUUUAGAUUUGGCUAAUAUUGCAUUGGAGACAAUAGUUGAGUUUGAGUCGGACUAACGUGUUAUUUCUAUUGGCUAUUUGCACUUUUCCAGUAAUGUUAUCAUUAGGUAUUAUGCAACAUUUA
This is a non-coding RNA of Theobroma cacao (cacao), 732 nucleotides long. NCBI's taxonomy places the organism in Eukaryota, Viridiplantae, Streptophyta, Magnoliopsida, Malvales, Malvaceae. The record is from RefSeq and is a predicted model, not a curated record.